CGAACGAUGAACCACUUCGGUGGGGAUUAGUGGCGAACGGGUGAGUAACACGUGGGCAAUCUGCCCUGCACUCUGGGACAAGCCCUGGAAACGGGGUCUAAUACCGGAUAUGACCAUCUUGGGCAUCCUUGAUGGUGUAAAGCUCCGGCGGUGCAGGAUGAGCCCGCGGCCUAUCAGCUUGUUGGUGAGGUAACGGCUCACCAAGGCGACGACGGGUAGCCGGCCUGAGAGGGCGACCGGCCACACUGGGACUGAGACACGGCCCAGACUCCUACGGGAGGCAGCAGUGGGGAAUAUUGCACAAUGGGCGAAAGCCUGAUGCAGCGACGCCGCGUGAGGGAUGACGGCCUUCGGGUUGUAAACCUCUUUCAGCAGGGAAGAAGCGAAAGUGACGGUACCUGCAGAAGAAGCGCCGGCUAACUACGUGCCAGCAGCCGCGGUAAUACGUAGGGCGCGAGCGUUGUCCGGAAUUAUUGGGCGUAAAGAGCUCGUAGGCGGCUUGUCACGUCGGUUGUGAAAGCCCGGGGCUUAACCCCGGGUCUGCAGUCGAUACGGGCAGGCUAGAGUUCGGUAGGGGAGAUCGGAAUUCCUGGUGUAGCGGUGAAAUGCGCAGAUAUCAGGAGGAACACCGGUGGCGAAGGCGGAUCUCUGGGCCGAUACUGACGCUGAGGAGCGAAAGCGUGGGGAGCGAACAGGAUUAGAUACCCUGGUAGUCCACGCCGUAAACGGUGGGCACUAGGUGUGGGCAACAUUCCACGUUGUCCGUGCCGCAGCUAACGCAUUAAGUGCCCCGCCUGGGGAGUAC
RNAcentral lists this ribosomal RNA (805 nucleotides) under Streptomyces sp. RNAcentral describes it as "bacterial SSU rRNA". It matches the Rfam family "Bacterial small subunit ribosomal RNA", at positions 63 to 883 of the family's 1533-position model. The record is from RNAcentral. Lineage: Bacteria; Bacillati; Actinomycetota; Actinomycetes; Kitasatosporales; Streptomycetaceae.